Meleagris gallopavo (turkey) is the source of this 3655-nucleotide non-coding RNA. Lineage: Eukaryota; Metazoa; Chordata; Aves; Galliformes; Phasianidae. The record is from RefSeq and is a predicted model, not a curated record.
GCCAAAAUUCAGACAAGCAUGUUCUUCAUCCAUAUUGUAAUACAGUGACCUCUCUUUUCUUGCAGGAGUAGAUGCAUGCUUCUGUGAAGGAUGAAUAGUUGGGCAAAAAACCAGCAAUCUCUCCAACUUGUAGAAGGCUUCUCCAUAUCUGUAUUUUUAAUUAGUGCAGCAUGAAGAGGCCAAGUGGAAGGCUCUAUGCCAAGUAUCUUGUCUACAGAGGAAAAGGAUGCACUGUGAUUGAAGAAGCUUUUUUCCAAAGGUAUCUUACUUCACAUAUAUCAAUGGUUAACUUCUGUCUCUUCUUCUACUGUAGGAGCUGCUAAAUUAAAGUGACUAAAAUUCCCUAUAUUUUGAUUUUAUUCUGCAACAUUAUGCAAAUUGGUUCUUUUUCCUUUGAGAUCAUGACAAUCUGUCCUUUCUGGAUCUUUUUUAAAUUUUUUUAAUAUAAAGCAGCAAACAAAUUGAACACAUGCUAGCACAAAUGUUGGAAGCCACUUCAGUUACUAGCAAUCUUAUAAACAAACUAUAGCAACUGCUCUACCCAAAGAUGCUUAAUAUACAGGUUUAUUUUCUACUGAUUUGUGAGAUGUAUUUCAUAUGUAUUCAAUAAGAUUCCAGCUGGGGAGUUAAAAAGAAAAGCUGGUUCCUGAAGCAUGAGUUCAGCAUUCUCUAAAUAUCAAGUUCAGCCAUUUUCUGGUAGUUGAAAUGGUUCCUUCUGUCCCUUAAAAUGAGACAUCUUUUAAAUCACCUUCUGGAAGCAAUCCUAACUUCAGGUACUCAAAUGAUUACUAAUGUAAAAAAUAUAUUUAUGCUUUUGAAAGACAUUAUUUUAAAUGAUUCUGGACAGCGCAGAUUAGCUUUUAGUAGUGUCAUAUUCACAAUAAUCAGGUUGAUUACAUGAAUAUCUAGUGUUUUCUACUUGAAUACUAAUAGCCUCAAACUCAGCAAAGGAUCUUUCAGCAUAUUAUUGGUAAAUGGUUUUAUUUAUUUCUUACUAUUUGAAGUGCAGAAGAAAAAACGAAGUGGGCUAGGAGGUAUCUAAAGCCAGAAAUGCAUCCCAGUCCUUCAAUUUUGUGGCAAAUAAUUGGGCCCUGAAGGAAUUGGCUGUUCAGUUGUUCUCCCAGCUGUAGUGUGUGUGUGUUGGCUCUGUUUCUCAUAGAUGCCUCUCAGCAAUACGUUUUGGCAGGAGCCCUAAGGACUUACACCUCAAAGGAGGGGGAGAAGAAUGCUCUACGUUGAGGGCUUAAGCUAAUAUGAUCCAGAGCCCCAUUCGAUAAAGAUAUUCACAAGAGGAAAAGCUCCAAACAUUUUACUGAAUGCCAUUUUCCUCUUAGGAAGGUAAAUUCACUGGCAAAUUUUUAUUGCUUACCCUAUUCAGCAUCAGCGACAUCUCACUCUUAUUAGCCUUUAAACCUUUCAAACAAGCUGUUCUUUCACCUUACUUGUACUAGUAUGGGUAUAAUCAUGUAUAUGCACAUAUCCAUGCAAGCAGUACAUAUUUUUUUAUUUUUGUUUUUUAAGAAUUGUUUGUCUCCAUUGGUGUGUUUGUACAUUGAUUCCAGUAUCUCAGCUUUAAAAGACGUGACAAAUAAUUUUGUCUCAAAUUCUGUCCUGAAGCACCAGUGGAAAUGUAAGCUUUGCUAAGGCUUUGCUGAUGAAAAUUUAGCUGGAGUACAGGGAAAUCUUUCACUUGUACUUUACUAAUUUAGGAGUAUACUCCUCAUUUAUAAAAGUGACAUUGAUGCUCAGGAAGCUGGAGGGAUCAGAUAGUCUGUGUGAUAGUCCAAGUGAUAGUCAACAACUGAAGAGACAACUCAUUGCUUUCAGGGGCAGUAUACAAUACUUGAGUACUUUGAGCUAAUUGAUUUAGGCAUGGUAAUGUUUGUAUUCUUUUCCAUGUGCUUUAACCUCUGCUAACUCUCAAGCUCAAUUCCCCCCCAUUUGAGAGAUGGCCAGAAUCAUGUUCCUCCCUGGCACAGCAAGUUUUGAUCCUGAUGGAGAGGCUGGUAUUGAACGCACAGCAAGACCGACCUUAAUUCACAUCUCUAAGGAAGAAAGAGCCUACAGUCUUAAAGCAUCACAUAUUGUGGAGACUUUUUUAAAAGUAAAAAGCAGUGGCUAUGUGUGUGUAUACAGCCAAGGAAACACCUCUGCUGAUUUCCCCAGCAUGCACAAUGCAGGGGAGCGCAGGGCGGAGGUUCUUGAGCUCUUGCUCACCCGUGUUGGAAGUCUUCAAAGGGUGAUAUCAACUCAGGCCUACGGGCAGAAGAACACUGUUGGUGUGAUGAUGUGCCCACCUUAAUUAGUGAUAUGGCUCAUCUCCGCUGAAUUUCACAGCAUUACUAGGAUAAUACGGAUGGAACCAGUUUCUCUGUGGGUUUCUCUGUUCCCCUGAUUACAGCCAGUGUCAAGUAAACUUCUUCUGAGAAGCAGUGUUCGGACUUUGUUGUUUUCUGCUUUGGGAAGUGACCAGUAUAGCUCUCUGAAAGCAGCUGGGACCUUAUAGUCUUGAGAAGGGAAAGCAUGGGGGAUAUUAUCAGCAUGGCUCCUGUUGGGGUGGAAUAAAAAUGAUGGAACCAGACACUUCUGAGUGGUAUCCACUCAUAGGAUGGGAGUCACUGGGCAAAUGUUGAAAUACUGGCAAUUCUGUUUAAACAUAAGAAAGAGCUUUUUAUUGUGAAAGAUUUCCCAGAGAGGCUAUGGAGCCUUCAUUGCUGGAGAUAUUUAAAAUCUGGACAUGACCAUGGGCAGCUGGCUCUAACUCAUCCUACUUGGAGGAGGACUUUGGACUGGAUGACUUCCAGAGGUCACUUCCAAACCACAGCUAUUUUGUGGUUCUGUGAUUUAAGAAUCUAAUCCAUAUUGAAAGGCAAUGAAGAUAACUGUCAUAGACUUUGAAAUGGCUUUUGAAAGUGAGACUCAGGCUCCUCCAUCACUUACAGUGCUGAGUGGAGGAAAAAUGUAAUCCCUUGAAAAAAUUGUCCAAGUUUUGAACACCUUUCUCAAGCUUGCACAUAAAUGUUUAGGUCUAGUGCUUAAUAGGAAGCACUUCAGAACUUUUUAGCAUAUUUUUAAAUCCUUGCAGUGCUUCCAUCCAUACAAGUAAUUAUGUAAUUCUUAAAAAUAGCUUUAAUUUGUUUUAAACUUUUGGAUUUUGAAAUAGCAAAGAUGAAGUCACAAGGUAACAGUUCCUUUUACUUCCAUGGUCAUUAAAUACCGAACUGAUGAAGAGUUCAUUGCUUCAAAGGUUAGUUUCCUAAAAAUGAAAAGGAACCAAGUAAUGUUUGCUGUGCCAAGGCUCAUUUCUUCUGCCUACGAGGGACAAUAAGCAUGCCAUUUGAAAGGUCAUUGGUUCUUUUGUAUGCUAAUAAACAAUUAGUGCGGCUGGGGGGGGGGCAGGAGGACAUGUGGCAUCAACUUCUUUAAAAUGUAUUUCUGAGCAAAUUAACAAUUCGUGACAAGUUAAGAAUACUGAAGCUAAUAUCUCCUGGAUGAUUUCUCAGCCAUCAUUUCUUUCUGUGUGAAAAUAGUGCUGUUUAAUCAGCUCUGGCUAACAAAUAUUUUUCUCCUCGACGAGCACAUUCUGCGACUUCAGUUCACCCCUGAGAUUAUUAUUUUUUUUUUUGUAACAUUUUAUAGGUGAUAAGGAAAAAGA